Beta vulgaris subsp. vulgaris (sugar beet) is the source of this 2944-nucleotide long non-coding RNA. RefSeq lists it as uncharacterized. NCBI's taxonomy places the organism in Eukaryota, Viridiplantae, Streptophyta, Magnoliopsida, Caryophyllales, Amaranthaceae. The record is from RefSeq and is a predicted model, not a curated record. The transcript is spliced from 4 exons.
CUAAUGAAAUUACUGCUCGCCUUUCUGUUCUCUCCCUCCCUUCACUGGUUUAUCUUUCUCUCUCAUCCUGUCUUCAUAUCCUUCCAUACUCCAUUUCUGCCCUCCUUCUCUCCAUCUUCUUAUCGUCACCCAUUCUUCACAAAAACAAGUGGUUCGAUUUUUUUUUUCGAUUUCUGAUUUAUUUUGUUCUAAAACUUGAACCCUAGAAAUCGAAGAAGAUUUAUUUCUCCCUUUCAUAAGUUCCUCUCUCUCUGUCUCAUCACGCCUCUGAAACCAUACAAAUUCUAGCUGAGAAUAAGUUUUAAUUUUCAUUUUCUCUCUUUUAUUUUCAAGAUUUAACUUAUCAAUUGUUUAAUUACCAUUACCAAGCAACAUGUAGGAUUUCCUUUCUCUCAUAUCAAAUCGAUUUCGCCGUUCUCAUAACUUUUGGGACACACGAAUAACAUCAAAAAUUAGGGUUUCGAUUGAAAUAGCUUUCGCGUCCUCUCAUCAUUCCUCUCUUUGAUUCCGUUGAAAGAACUGAAUUUUCGUUUAUGUUGCCGAUAGAUUGCAGAUCUAUGUUUUUUGAAGGGUUAAUUUGAUGGGUUAUUAGGUCUCUCUCCCUCACUCCAUCACAAUCCGCCAACAACUGUUGCAUGUCCGUCACCACUAACGACUCCUCUCCUUCACUGCCGUAGUGCCGCCCACCUCGCCAGCAAUGUCUUUAUAUGGUUAGUUUUUGAUAAAUUCAUCUGUAAAUUUAGUUAUUUAAAAUAAACUUGGUUUUUGGUGGAUUUUGCGUGAAUUACAGAGUGGAUUUGAUAAAUUCAUUUGUGUGAUUAUCUGGUGAUUUUAGAUGUUUGUAUUGUGUUGAUAUGGUAAAUGAGUCCAUCACUGAAUCAUAUUUGCUAUUGACAUCCUUGAGAAUAAGUCUAUUUCGUGUAUAACGUUCGCUAUUAUGCUGGUCUUAUGAAAAACAAAGAUGUUUUGAUUUUGUUGAGCAGUUUAGCCCCUAGGGAGCUUCUCGCCUUUUCGUUAUCAAUGAUAUGAUUCCACAACUACUGGUGAUGAGCUAUCUGUUGGUCGAUUGUUUUUAUGAGCUUCUUCCCUGUGGGUUUACCUUAUCUAUGUGUUAUCAAGAUUAACAGAAAACUGAAAUUAUUGGCCUACUUUUCAUACCUAAUUAUGUCUGGUUUAGUGUGGUGAAUUUAAGAUCAUAUCUUAAGUUGUUAUGGAAUAUUGGCGAUCCUCAAUUAUUCAACUAAAAUUGUCGAACAAAACUCUAGUUUUGCAAUUGGGCUCAAUUGGUUGGGUUUUUUGCAAUAAAAUAAGGGACGUCGCCUUAGGCGAUCUGAUUCGCGAACGAAGGCGACCUCAUCACGAUUUGUUCCGCGAUUGGGGACAAGUGAUUCAAAUCGCACAUCGGGAAAGCAUCCUACAUUCCUUGUAUCACUGGACUAAAAGCUAGUUGUGGCUGAAUUCUGUGCACCACUCUUCUCUCUUUGAGACAUAACUCACCUAAAAAGUUUUCAUUUUUAGGGAGUAAUUUUCUAUGAAUCAUAGAAUUAACGAGUAUUAUGAAAGAUCUUUCUUGAAUUUGAUGAGCUUUUUUUGUGUCAGCUAAUAGUCUCAUGUAGUUCACAGGCUUUUGGCCUGAGAAGUAGCAUGUAAGCAGAAGUUCUCAAAUUGGUAUAAUAGAAAACCCUUGUCCCCGAAAAAAUUAUAAGGGUGUCUGAGUGUCUCUCCUCCUAGAAUUACUACAUCAUUUGUUUAUUACGGUACUAUUAUGAAGAUAUGAAGACAGAUAACAUUAUUAAAUGGAAAGUCUUGUUUGUUUUACUUUCAUUAUUUAAAGUUUUAAACUGCUACUUCUGGAAAGUGGGAGGGGAGUGUGAAAAGUUCAUUUGAUAUGGCACAAGUCAAUUGUAGUUUUCUAGAGGGAGAUCUAGUCUUCUCUGUGAGGUUGCAGGUCCUCAAAGUUUUGAACUCAUUUGUGAGUUAUGGUUGAUAUGGCACAAGUCAACUAUGUGUUUCUACCUGCUGAAUUGUGUUUUGUACACCCGCUUCCUGGAGAGCUGGUUCGAGGUGCCCAAAGACUGCCGUCAAUAAUGAGACGGGUUGAAAGCAUGUUACUUGCAAUUGAACUUAAGAAUAUAAUCAACUAUCAUAUCCCUGCUUCUAAGAUUCUGGAAGCUUUGACUGCAGCCUCUUGUCAAGAGACAUUUUGCUAUGAAAGAGCCAAGCUCCUGGGAGAUGCUUAUUUGAAAUGAUUUGGUUUUCGUGAUUUUCAUUCCCGUCAUUGCAAUUUCUCUUUGGUAUUAGCAAUAUUACAUUCCCUCAGCACGAGAACUCCAGUGAUACAGCAUUUUGCCGAGACUAUAUCUGGAGCAACAACUAUUAGGAGCUUCGAUCAAGAAUCGUGAUUCGUUAAAACAAGCGUGAAGCUAGUAAAUGGAUAUUCAAGGCCAAAGUUUUACAAUGUUGCUGCAAUGGAAUGGCUUUGCAUUCGCUUGGACUUGUUGUCUUCAAUUACAUUUGCUGCCUCAUUGAUAUUUCUCAUAUCCAUUCCUGUAGGAUUAAUCGAUCCUGGGAUUGCUGGUUUCUGUUUCAUAUGGGCUAAAUCUGAACAUGCUAUAAGGCUGGGUGAUAUGGAAUUUAUGUAAUAUGGAGAAUAAAAUCAUCUCAGUUGAGAGGAUUCUUAAGUAUACAUCUAUCCCAAGUGAACCUCCCCUUAUUAUUGAAGAAACUAGGCCAGACCCGUCUUGGCCUUCUCAUGGAGAAGUCAAUGUUCAAGACCUGCGGGUGAUUUUGGUUUCAUUUUACUUGCUUUCGUUGCAUAACAUGUAAGGCCACGACAGAAAAAUUGAAACGCGCGCUUUCCUUAAACAUUGUGAUGGAUAUAUGCAGUUUCGUUAUGCGUCCAUUUUUUUUAAUAAUAAUAUUUCUGAAUGUGUUUGAUGUCUGA